This 255-nucleotide ribosomal RNA is filed under the name uncultured bacterium. Its description in RNAcentral is "partial 16S ribosomal RNA". It matches the Rfam family "Bacterial small subunit ribosomal RNA", at positions 526 to 779 of the family's 1533-position model. The record is from RNAcentral.
CGGAGGGUGCAAGCGUUAUCCGGAUUCAUUGGGUUUAAAGGGUCCGCAGGCGGGCUUGUAAGUCAGGGGUGAAAGCCGACAGCUUAACUGUCGAACUGCCUUUGAUACUGCAAGUCUUGAGUGAGGUUGAAGUAGCUGGAAUGUGUAGUGUAGCGGUGAAAUGCUUAGAUAUUACACAGAACACCGAUAGCGAAGGCAGGUUACUAAGUCCUAACUGACGCUGAGGGACGAAAGCGUGGGGGAGCGAACAGGAUU